GGGCGUGUAGCUCAAUUGGGAGAGCGCUAGCAUCGCAAGCUAGAGGCAGCGGGUUCGAAUCCCGCCACGUCCACCA
RNAcentral lists this transfer RNA (76 nucleotides) under Bacillota bacterium. Its description in RNAcentral is "tRNA-Ala". It matches the Rfam family "tRNA". Rfam says of the family: Transfer RNA (tRNA) molecules are approximately 80 nucleotides in length. RNAcentral also lists the same sequence under 2 other names. The record is from RNAcentral. Lineage: Bacteria; Bacillati; Bacillota.